GAUGAACGCUGGCGGCGUGCCUAAUACAUGCAAGUCGAGCGAACGGACGAGAAGCUUGCUUCUCUGAUGUUAGCGGCGGACGGGUGAGUAACACGUGGAUAACCUACCUAUAAGACUGGGAUAACUUCGGGAAACCGGAGCUAAUACCGGAUAAUAUUUUGAACCGCAUGGUUCAAAAGUGAAAGACGGUCUUGCUGUCACUUAUAGAUGGAUCCGCGCUGCAUUAGCUAGUUGGUAAGGUAACGGCUUACCAAGGCAACGAUGCAUAGCCGACCUGAGAGGGUGAUCAGCCACACUGGAACUGAGACACGGUCCAGACUCCUACGGGAGGCAGCAGUAGGGAAUCUUCCGCAAUGGGCGAAAGCCUGACGGAGCAACGCCGCGUGAGUGAUGAAGGUCUACGGAUCGUAAAACUCUGUUAUUAGGGAAGAACAUAUGUGUAAGUAACUGUGCACAUCUUGACGGUACCUAAUCAGAAAGCCACGGCUAACUACGUG
RNAcentral lists this ribosomal RNA (497 nucleotides) under uncultured bacterium. RNAcentral's name for it is "partial 16S ribosomal RNA". It matches the Rfam family "Bacterial small subunit ribosomal RNA", at positions 28 to 507 of the family's 1533-position model. The record is from RNAcentral.